CGCACGGGUGCGUAACGCGUGGGAAUCUACCCUUAGGUUCGGAAUAACUCAGAGAAAUUUGAGCUAAUACCGGAUAAUGUCUUCGGACCAAAGAUUUAUCGCCUUUGGAUGAGCCCGCGUAAGAUUAGCUAGUUGGUAGGGUAAAGGCCUACCAAGGCGACGAUCUUUAGCUGGUCUGAGAGGAUGAUCAGCCACACUGGGACUGAGACACGGCCCAGACUCCUACGGGAGGCAGCAGUGGGGAAUAUUGGACAAUGGGCGCAAGCCUGAUCCAGCAAUGCCGCGUGAGUGAUGAAGGCCUUCGGGUCGUAAAGCUCUUUUACCAGGGAUGAUAAUGACAGUACCUGGAGAAUAAGCUCCGGCUAACUCCGUGCCAGCAGCCGCGGUAAUACGGAGGGAGCUAGCGUUGUUCGGAAUUACUGGGCGUAAAGCGCGCGUAGGCGGCUUGCCAAGUCAGGGGUGAAAUCCCGGGGCUCAACCCCGGAACUGCCCUUGAAACUAGCAGGCUAGAAUCUUGGAGAGGUCAGUGGAAUUCCGAGUGUAGAGGUGAAAUUCGUAGAUAUUCGGAAGAACACCAGUGGCGAAGGCGACUGACUGGA
This 599-nucleotide ribosomal RNA is filed under the name Croceicoccus marinus. RNAcentral describes it as "bacterial SSU rRNA". It matches the Rfam family "Bacterial small subunit ribosomal RNA", at positions 99 to 733 of the family's 1533-position model. Lineage: Bacteria; Pseudomonadati; Pseudomonadota; Alphaproteobacteria; Sphingomonadales; Erythrobacteraceae. The record is from RNAcentral.